Molecule: long non-coding RNA, 1033 nt
Organism: Leucoraja erinaceus (little skate)
Lineage: Eukaryota; Metazoa; Chordata; Chondrichthyes; Rajiformes; Rajidae
Exons: 3
Source: RefSeq, a predicted model, not a curated record
AAUCAUAGAAUCAUAGAAAAAUAAGUGCAGGAUUAGGCCAUUCGGUCCUUCGAGCCAUUGAAUAUGAUCAUGGCUGAUCAUCUAAAACCAGUGCCCCAUUCCUGCUCUUUCUCCAUAUCCCUUGAUCCCUUUAACCCUAAGAGCUAAAGCUAAAUCUAGUGAUUCGAUAGGCAUAGGGUUUGUGAUUGAAUCCCACGACCGAGAGACAGAGAGGAGGGUGGUGCUGAGUGCUAAAGGCACAGAGCUGCUCAUUGCGAGGGAGACUGCAACGGUUUAUGAAGGAUGGCCACGGACGUUUCAAACUGUGCCCAAACCUCCUUCCAACAGAGUACUACAAGCAAGCCAGCUUACCCCGCUCUAUCAGUGAUAUCUGAGCAUCUAGGGAGUUUACCAAAGUCAAAAAAGCGCAUGGCUGAAAAUAUAUGAAGACGCUCCAGUAAAACUGUGCCAGACCAGCAUGCAGCGAGCCAAAUGGGAUCCAGUGCUGGAGGAAACCAGAGUACCUGGAGAGAACUCACACGGACAAUGGGAGAACGUGCAAACUCCAUACAGUCAGCACCCGCAGUCAGGAUCGAACCCGGGGUCUCUGGCGUCGUGAGGCAGCAACUCUACCUCUGCGCCACAGUUGGGCCGGGAGCAGAAAAGACUGCAACAAGUUACGAACAUUGCCCAGUCCAUCACCGGCUCUGACCUCCCCACCAUCGAUGGGAUUUAUCGGAGACGCUGCCUCAAAAAGGCAGCCAACAUCAACAGAGACCCACACCAUCCUGGCCAUACACUCAUUUCACCAUUGCCAUCGGGAAGAAGGUACAGGAGCCUGAAAACCGUAACGUCCAGGUUCAGGAACAGCUUCUUCCCUACAGCUAUCAGGUUAUUAAACACUACAACCUCAUAUAUGCCCUGAACAACAAUAGAUUAUUAUUAUUAUUGUUGCACUGUUCUGUUUGUUUUUUGAGUAUGUGUGUUUAUAUAUAUAUAUAUAUAUUUGUAUAUAUAUACUGAGCUUUCCUUUCCCUCUCUCGUUUGUCAUAUC